AAUACAAGAUGCUCAGCUACAUUUGACAUUCAGAUGAACAACAAAUAAUUUUUUGGUGUACGUAUGUUCCAUGCCAUAUUUGAGACAUACUUAUACUAAAAAUAUUCAUUUUAAAAAAUCUGAAAUUCAAAUGUAUCUGGGCAUCCUGUAUUUU
Molecule: microRNA precursor, 154 nt
Filed under: Chlorocebus sabaeus (green monkey)
Lineage: Eukaryota; Metazoa; Chordata; Mammalia; Primates; Cercopithecidae
Description: miRNA (ENSCSAG00000027500.1)
Source: RNAcentral